Acanthosepion pharaonis is the source of this 114-nucleotide non-coding RNA. The record is from the annotation of a GenBank genome assembly. Lineage: Eukaryota; Metazoa; Mollusca; Cephalopoda; Sepiida; Sepiidae.
UUACGGCCACAUCAUGUUCAAACAACAGUCCCCGUAAGAUCACCGAAUUUAAGCAACGUCGAGCCUGUUCAGUACCUAGAUGAGUGACCGCUUAGAAAUACCAGGUGCUGUAAG